RNAcentral lists this long non-coding RNA (473 nucleotides) under Ananas comosus (pineapple). RNAcentral describes it as "long non-coding RNA (ACOM_LNC039458)". The record is from RNAcentral. Lineage: Eukaryota; Viridiplantae; Streptophyta; Magnoliopsida; Poales; Bromeliaceae.
UAUAUAUAGUCCGGCUGCUAUGCUAUCGAUAGUACCAAGCACUUGGUGCUAUCAAGUUUUCUGUCGUUAGAUUAACCCAUUUGAUUAUUUUUCCCCCUUAGAUUAUACUAUUCAACCAACUAAUCACUUAACCCUAAUGGGCCCACAUUAUCCUAACCGCACAUCGACUCGGAAUCUAACGUAUUUGAAGUUUCUAGAAAAUAUUUUUUGUAAUUUUUCGAUAUCAUUUAGCUAGUGAUCGAAAUAAUUCAAAAUCAAUAUUUUUUAAUGAUUGAUGUCUGUCGUUUUCCAGUUUAAUGGUGUAAGAGUAUUAGAUGAAAUUUUAAUACAAAGUUCUUUAUUCUAUCCACAACAAGAUCACUAUUUCUGAUCGAAAAGUUUAGUACUAUAUCACCACUUUAGUGUCCUACUAGUUGAUUAAUAUUACCGCUAGUUGAGAGUUAAAUUUUCACUAUUUGGACCAUUAAGCUUUU